UGAAGAGUUAAAUGCUAAAAAUGAAAUAGCGUGUUAAUAGGAUGCAGAGUGGGAGUAGAGGUAGAUGUGUUAUUCCUCUGCCUGGGUGAGCUGGGGCUGCCCCGAGAGGCCAUUGCAGCCCCAGGAAGCAGAACUCACUUGGAACACAGAAGAAGGUGGGGUGUUCUCAGAAACACGAAUGGUCCAGGACCCCACUCCAUCCUUUCUUACUCAUGCUGGUACAGGGAAGUACCAGCCACCAGCUUCUGCUGAAAUGAGGCAUCGCAGGCAGAGGAGGGAGGAAGCCGUGGGAAGUUUGCCGGAAAAGCAGAACCGGUUCCUAGAAAGGCUCUAACGAACUUGAUGGAAGGUGAAUGAAUACCUGCACCACUCUAUUUUGGAGUCAUUUACCAAAUGCCACUACUGUCAAGAAACAGGCCAUCACAUCCUUCCUCUGCAUUCACGAAUAUCACCCUUCAGUAUCUUAAGACUUGCUAUUUGUCAUGAAACUCAUAUGUAAAUUCCUCUAUGGUUAUAUUAAGUAUAUAUUUGAUUUUUGAAUUAAAAAAAUGAUCAAGGGCAUAUAUAGAUCAUCUUUGUCAGCACAUAGGAUUAAAGUUACUCAGCUUUUAUGAAGAGGCCCUGCAACAAACAUGGCAUGGAUUUCUGCAUAUGUAUCCAGCCAUUACUAAUUUCUGUGUCAAAGUGUUUAAAACUGUUAUAAAUGAUUAGAUGAUUCAGUGUAGAGUUCAGUUAAAAUUGCAGAACUAGAGGGGAGAGAUGGGAAGUGCCACACAAGGGUUAAGUCCCUCACCGCAAACACAGCCAUGUAGCAGACAUCAGAGUGACCCAGGCGGCUGGAGCACUUGGCUGGUCCACCACCCAGAGCUGGGAAGCUGUUUUCCUUGAGGACUCUAUACUCGGGAGAGAAGAAGACGUUAACUCUGUGUGUGUCUCUGAGACGACUUCAAGGGAUGUUUAGUGGGGAAAGAAUUUCCAGAGUAUGUUUUUUUUUCAUCUCAUCUGAAAGACACAGUGGUUUUCAACUAGCUUGGUGCUGUUACGACAGUCAUUUCACCUGACCUCUUUUUUAAACAGGCCUAAAACAAGCCACUCUGCCAUCUAAGCAGAACUAAUGCUGUUACAAGAGCAUGCAAAUUGUAAUUAAAAAAAAAAAAUCCAUAAGCCAGCAGUUUCUUUUGACCACAGUGGCUUUUUCCCUCCUGCUAGUUCUGCUGAAACAGCAGCGCUGCUGUGCACUAUGAGACUCCAGCUCUGUGCUCCAAUUUGUUGUUCCUCUGAUGAGAACUGCAUGUGAGGAUGCUUGGUUUUGUGUGUGAAGGGCCACACAUGCAGCAGGAUUUCAAGUCUCUGAGGACAGGGGCCCCUCCCUCCUUUACAUCACUUUUCGUUUAUAGGAUCCCGCCCCGGGGCUGUCAUGAGGGCUGUGUUAUCGCCUGUUGAGUGGAUGUGUGGUUGAACAAAUGAGGGACUGAACAGAGAGCUCCAGUCUCCUGUGUUCUAAACCGAACAGUGCAAACUGGUCGGGAUCCGUUUCAAUCAAAGAGCAGGAUCUGUGAGAUGCAGAAAUAAAAAGAUGAGGAUACGAUUCCA
This 1593-nucleotide long non-coding RNA is filed under the name Sus scrofa (pig). RNAcentral describes it as "lncRNA (ENSSSCG00030068606.1)". The record is from RNAcentral. Lineage: Eukaryota; Metazoa; Chordata; Mammalia; Artiodactyla; Suidae.